RNAcentral lists this ribosomal RNA (153 nucleotides) under Triticum aestivum (bread wheat). Its description in RNAcentral is "partial small subunit ribosomal RNA". The record is from RNAcentral. Lineage: Eukaryota; Viridiplantae; Streptophyta; Magnoliopsida; Poales; Poaceae.
AUGAAGGAGGAGAAAGAAACAAUAGUAACGUGGUCCCGGGCAUCUAGCAUUCUACCCACAAUGGUUGGCCAUACAAUCGCGAUUCAUAAUGGAAAGGAACAUAUACCUAUUUACAUAACAAAUCCUAUGGUAUGUCGCAAAUUGGGGCGCUGA